GUGGUGGUAAUAGAUACGAAUUUGCAAUGAAUUUGUUGCAAUUUAUGUGCAAUCGACUGUACAAACAUCAAACAUAAACACGAUGUUACUGCACCUCUCACUUGCGUUAUACGAUUCAUUGCAGUUACAUAAUUUGUGGACGACCAAACCGUCUCCGGCUUUGGAGAUAAAGAGAAUCCAUCAGCGUCAAGACGUCCUUAUGGUCACUAUCAAAGAUCUGGAUUAGGACAAUCGACCACGUCGCAAAUCCGAGGGUCCCGACGGUGCUACCCACCUCAUGAAGUAUGCCUCCGUGCGUGGAAUAUCUAAUCGAAUUAGAGAUGAGGUCAAAACGGAGCAUUGAAUUGAGUUGUGGAGAGCUGGAAAGUGACAUAGACAGCCUUUAAUAGGCACAGCUAAUUACUGUAAACGUAUAAAAAAAUAUGAUAAUAAUAAACAUCAUACCCAAAAUAAUAUAUCCU
Plodia interpunctella (Indianmeal moth) is the source of this 461-nucleotide long non-coding RNA. RefSeq lists it as uncharacterized. The transcript has 3 exons. Lineage: Eukaryota; Metazoa; Arthropoda; Insecta; Lepidoptera; Pyralidae. The record is from RefSeq and is a predicted model, not a curated record.